Oncorhynchus keta (chum salmon) is the source of this 3455-nucleotide long non-coding RNA. RefSeq lists it as uncharacterized. The record is from RefSeq and is a predicted model, not a curated record. The transcript is spliced from 3 exons. Lineage: Eukaryota; Metazoa; Chordata; Actinopteri; Salmoniformes; Salmonidae.
CCAUAAUUUUUUUGUCACAUGCGCCGAAUACAACGGUGUGGACCUUAGAGUGAAAUGCUUACUUACAAACCCUGAGAUGCUGAGCCCUCAGGGGCAGUAAGUAAGAUAAGCCACUGGCGUGUGUGUGCGUAUCAUCACACAUGGUUGGCUUAGAUAUCGGUGAAUUAUACAUGUUCAGUGAAAUGAUCUCAUGUUACAGCCGUAGAGUGGAGAGGUCGAUGAAGACAGCACCUGACUUUGGUCGUCGUGUCCACAGGAUUACAUGUAAUGGGCGAGGUUACAUUUAUUUUUUGACGGCAUCACUGCACUUCUGUAAUUGAACGCGUGUUACCUAGAAAAAUAAUUAUAGCCAAGCUACCAUAAUGCACAUAAGUUGUCAUUUUCUUUCAAAUCCAAGGUGACUAUGCUACUGUCUCUUUUACAGUGACUCGCCCAACACCUCAGCAUCACAGGCUUCCUCCUCUAGUCUCAUAGGACUUCCUCUGGCUGCAGCCAGCCAGGCAGCCCAGAUGACACACGUUAGAUCAAGAAUAGAAAAAGAAUCCAGGCCUCCACAUCGGAUUACAUCUGACAAGCAACAUGGACCCAGAUUUGUCCACUCUGAAGAUCUUCCUUGGCUCACAGAACUUUUCCUUCCCUCUCUGUCAUCCAAAAAUGUUUCCGUACCAUAUGCAGCUAAAUGGAAACAGAUGCCCCUCGCGCCAGUGAAAGAAAGAGAGAGAAAAAGGAAUAAAAAAAUAAAAAAUUGAUUUACAGCGUCUAACAGUUCCAUUCAACAGUGCAUUAGCCUGCGCUACUAUGGGCUUCCACAAAAAACAUGGAUAAAUCGUAAUUAUCUCACACGCACACGCACACGCACACACACACACAGUCAAAGAAGGCACCCAUUCCUGUGUUUUACUUUUCAUAGCUAAUUCUUAGAGCAUUGUUACCAGCCAUCAGAACGUUGUAGCCUGAUCAACCUUUCACUUUUUAGGAACCAGGAAAUGGAUAAUCUUCGCAUGCCACCGAAGAAAAAAAUCUGUUGUUACUCAAGGCGGAGCUCUAGACUCAGGGACUGUCUCUAAUUUUAGCACCUGGAGUUCCAUAUAAGCAUACCAUAUAUUUUAGCCAUGACACACAGAAACAAUAAAUCCUAAAACCAAACACCAGACAUAGAGGCAAACACUAUGUUCUCAUGAUUUAAACGAGUCAGUCAUUUGAAAUGGUAAUCAGCUUUUUUAAUGAAAAUAGAGUGAGAGUAUUGACUCGGAAACAAAAUCAGAAGAAAAAAAAAUGUCAACUGAAGUAUACAUGCUUGUAAAACAUAGGUGUAUGUAUCUCUGUCAUUUUCUACUUUCCUUAUAGAAUGUAAUGAAACCGAAAACAUUUCAUGCGAACUGAAAUAACUUAAACAGCCCAUAAAUUGAUCCUGCACUUCCAUUUGCACAUGAGACCCCUCAUGUGCAAAUGUUUGUGAGGGAAUGAAUACAUAAUUGUAUUCUUAAAAAAACAUUGGUUCAACCAUUCUGCAGAGACUUUCUACAGAUCCCCAAAUAUAAUUAUGUUAGUGAUGUUUUUAUCACAAUUAUUUGAGAAUUUAUGGGCAUUCAAUUUUCUUUCCCUCCUUGCUGCUAUGUCUUUUGACUUGACUGACUCUAUGUCUAAGCCUUCUAAAAGUGACACCAAUAGUUUAAUCAAUAACAACGCCAACAACUUCAAUGCCCUCCACUGCCUUUAGCACCUUUUAUAUUUUAUAUGAUUAUGGCUCUCAUCUCCCGUUCAUUCUCCUGUGUGCACAGCCUUGAGCCCUGUCUGUUACAGCUCCUAUGGAAGGCUGAGUAAAUGUUUCCUCUUGUGCGGGAGCUCUGCUCCUGUAAAGGACAGCCGUUAUAUUUCUUAACCUCUACAGUAUAGAAACACAAAUAGAACUGUACAAUGGGGGAUGUCAGAGGAGUGCAGAUGACCAAACUCUGUAGGGAGUCAUGUACUGUAAGUGCAGGCUCUCAUCUCAACUGCUAGGAAUCAAUAUGUCAUUUCCUCCCUACCUGUCAGAAGUGUGCAGAGACCCAGAUCUAAGUUUUUCUUUUUUUUAUAUGUACAGUGCAAGGUAUGUGUGCUAUAGAUUCUGUCUUUGAAUUUAUCUUAACAAGUGCUACAUUGAUACGAAUUGGAAAUAUGUGUGGAAAUCCAGUUAUAUAAUGCUCUAUUCUUCAGCAAGUGCCUAUGUUUAGGUAACACUUUAUGUGAAGUUGCCCUUAUAGCCUACCUGUGUAAUAAAACAGUUAUUACUAUAGUUACAAUAUUGUAUUAGCAUGUUACUACAUGGUUAUUUAGUCAUUAUCUGUAGUUGUCUUUGUUGGAACCUGCAGAACUGUGAUUGGGUGUAGGCCUAAUGUUAUUAUAGUGUCCUUUCUUGUCCUGUGCGUGGAGGCUCAUAGUGACAGACAAAUGAAUAACAUGAGUAGAGAUAAACACUUCACUGUAGGCAUGUAUUGCAUGUAUGUGAUUGCAUAUUGUGUACUGGUAGCGGACGAGGUGAUUCUCCCUUGACAAUAUGAAGCACUUUUAACUCCUUGGAAAAGCUUGAAUGAAUCCAAUCCGUUAUUAUUCUAAUAGCAUAUGGCCUUCAAAAUUGCCCGAGAUGGCAAAUGUGAAUGUGCAAAUGUGCAUUUUUAUUGUCAUUUAUGAAAGCUGCAAUAGUAUUUACCAAGGUGUCUGUGGGGUUUUAUUGGUCAGCCCAGUUAUUUCCCCAUGUGUUUAGUGCUGGCUGUUUUCUUCAUUUGUCCCACACAAUUAAAUCGGGGAGGGGCUGUGGAUCUGUCUCCGUCCGUUAAUAUGUUCGUACGUUCGUCACACGCAAUAUCUCAGACAGCACUGGCCUGAUUAUGAUGAAACUUGGGUAAAUGAUGUGUCUUUACGCGGAGUACAAAAUUACACUGACCGACCAGAUGGUGGCGCUAUAACGAGUGAUUGAAAAUGCAAACCCCUCACUCCAUUUGACCUAAAGUCAUGAAAUUCAGUACAUAUGUCCCUCUCCUAUGUAAAAUUACUUCUGGUACCCUUUAGGUCCGCCAUUAUGUAUUUUCCGCCAUUUUGAAUUUUGUGGAUUUAUUUAAAAAACGCUACUCUGCUGGCACGGAAUGACCAAUCUGAAUAAAACUUGAUAUGUGGCAUCUAUGGAAAAAGGUCUCUCAACGCAACCUUUUUCCAGACUAGUACCUAAAACAAUAUGGUCGUUAUUGACCAAUAAACAAUCUGUCAAAACCUCAUUCUGGCGGCAGAUUAGCCUAGUGGUUAGAGCAUUGGACUAGUAACCGAAAGGUUGCAAGUUCAAAUCCCCGAGCUGACAAGGUACAAAAUCUGUCGUUCUGCCCCUGAACAGGCAGUUAACCCACUGUUCCUAGGCCGUCAUUGAAAAUAAGAAUUUAUACUUAACUGACUUGCCUAGUAAAAUAAAGGUAAAAUUAAAAAUU